Neopelma chrysocephalum (saffron-crested tyrant-manakin) is the source of this 232-nucleotide long non-coding RNA. RefSeq lists it as uncharacterized. Lineage: Eukaryota; Metazoa; Chordata; Aves; Passeriformes; Pipridae. The transcript is spliced from 3 exons. The record is from RefSeq and is a predicted model, not a curated record.
CAUUUUGAUGAAUGAUAACAUUAGAGAAAUGGGAAUCUUUUCGAGGGGGGGGGAAGGAUAGGCGGGCGGGCAGGUAGCCAGCAGAUUGGCAUAUCUGACCAGAUGCUUUUCAAGCAGCUGUGGGAUCUUGAUUCCUUCAAUCAUGUCCUACCAGAUGAGAUUACAGGGAAAUCUCUUUACCUGAAAUACUUCUGUGUGCCUCCUUAAACUUCAACAGACCUACACUGAUACA